GGGUGAGUAAUGCCUAGGAAUCUGCCUAUUAGUGGGGGAUAACGUUCCGAAAGGAACGCUAAUACCGCAUACGUCCUACGGGAGAAAGUGGGGGAUCUUCGGACCUCACGCUAAUAGAUGAGCCUAGGUCGGAUUAGCUAGUUGGUGGGGUAACGGCUCACCAAGGCGACGAUCCGUAGCUGGUCUGAGAGGAUGAUCAGCCACACUGGAACUGAGACACGGUCCAGACUCCUACGGGAGGCAGCAGUGGGGAAUAUUGGACAAUGGGCGAAAGCCUGAUCCAGCCAUGCCGCGUGUGUGAAGAAGGUCUUCGGAUUGUAAAGCACUUUAAGUUGGGAGGAAGGGUUGUAAGCUAAUAUCUUGCAGCUUUGACGUUACCAACAGAAUAAGCACCGGCUAACUCUGUGCCAGCAGCCGCGGUAAUACAGAGGGUGCAAGCGUUAAUCGGAAUUACUGGGCGUAAAGCGCGCGUAGGCGGCUUAGUAAGUUGGAUGUGAAAGCCCCGGGCUCAACCUGGGAACUGCAUCCAAAACUGCUUGGCUAGAGUACAGUAGAGGGUGGUGGAAUUUCCUGUGUAGCGGUGAAAUG
Molecule: ribosomal RNA, 588 nt
Filed under: uncultured bacterium
Lineage: Bacteria
Description: bacterial SSU rRNA
Rfam family: Bacterial small subunit ribosomal RNA
Source: RNAcentral